GAGUUUGAUCCUGGCUCAGAACGAACGCUGGCGGCAGGCCUAACACAUGCAAGUCGAGCGAGACCUUCGGGUCUAGCGGCGGACGGGUGAGUAACGCGUGGGAAUAUGCCCUUCUCUACGGAAUAGCCCCGGGAAACUGGGAGUAAUACCGUAUCCGCCCUACGGGGGAAAGAUUUAUCGGAGAAGGAUUAGCCCACGUUGGAUUAGGUAGUUGGUGGGGUAAUGGCCUACCAAGCCUACGAUCCAUAGCUGGUUUGAGAGGAUGAUCAGCCACACUGGGACUGAGACACGGCCCAGACUCCUACGGGAGGCAGCAGUGGGGAAUCUUAGACAAUGGGGGCAACCCUGAUCUAGCCAUGCCGCGUGAGUGAUGAAGGCCUUAGGGGUUGUAAAGCUCUUUCGGCGGGGACGAAAUGGUACGUGCUAAUACCACGGACUGAUGACGGUACCCGAAGAAGAAGCACCGGCUAACUACGUGCCAGCAGCCGCCGUAAC
Molecule: ribosomal RNA, 495 nt
Filed under: uncultured Alphaproteobacteria bacterium
Lineage: Bacteria; Pseudomonadati; Pseudomonadota; Alphaproteobacteria
Description: bacterial SSU rRNA
Rfam family: Bacterial small subunit ribosomal RNA
Source: RNAcentral